This is a long non-coding RNA of Astatotilapia calliptera (eastern happy), 1104 nucleotides long. The record is from Ensembl. Lineage: Eukaryota; Metazoa; Chordata; Actinopteri; Cichliformes; Cichlidae.
GUGAUCGUAAGGAGGUCACCUGUGCAGACAGGUGUAGAGACAAAAUCAAACUUCCUGCACAGCUCUGUCUCUCAGUGUGCUCUGCUUCCCUUCAGCAGCAUCAGAUUUUACUGGAGUACAGACACUAUUUACAAUCUGCAGAGGGGCCAACAAACAAGAUGGACCACUUCCUGUUUACAGCCAGGCUUUGGCGAGCCGCCGCCUCCAGUAAGGUGUCUACAUCACAGACAGUCAAAGAGGAGUGAACCCAGCAGGUGAGUCAGAUGAAGUGAGACGUCUGCAGCUGCAACAUUAGCGACUUUGUGCUAUGCUAAGCUAUCAGCACUUCUAGCUCCGCCCUCUGACAAACACCUGGAGUUUGUGCACAAGUAACUGGGCACAUGGACGCAGCUAUGACCAGGACACACACCUAUGGAGGCGGGCCCAGUGGAUGAGCCUCUGAUUGCAUCACCGGAGCAUCAUGUGCACGUUUCACUGCUGCUGCCAGAGCAGCCAAUCACAGCUCAGUAUUCACUGUGACAUCAAAGAACCAGUGCUCGGCUCACGUGCACACUCCUGGUUCGGAGUUAAUCCACCACACGCGCGUUAAUCCUUACAUGUGAGCGAGUGUCACAACGACAAUUACGUUCACGUGUAAAAAUCCGCUGUUCCAUCGCGUCCUGCGUCACGUUUCUCCUGGUGCAUUUGUUCCCGUGCAGACAGAUUAUGAUGGCAUCUCUGUGAGCGCUUCGGCUCGCCAAGAAAACUGCAAAAAGUUUCAUAGUGACCUUUGUGUGAUGGCGAGGGCAGCAUUUAAAUGCACGCCAUCACACAACGGUGACUAAGACAGUUCAUGUCAGGGUUUGAUGCCAAUAACACAUCCAGAGUGGCGUCCUGCGAUGCUUUACAUUACUGUCACAUGUCGAAGCCGUGACGAACGUUCUUAACGUGACCAAACAAGUGAAGCUGCAGCGGCACGAAACACCUGAACACAUGACCUCGUGCUGAACGGGAAGAGGAACGUAAGAAUGGCGGCGCACGCUCUGAGGGUCAGGAACAUCUUCGAAAUAGUUCACGCACACCGGAGGAUGAUGAAGACGAUGUGAGGAGGAGGAGUCUGUCUAU